ACCCGUUGAUUCUGCGGGAGAUUGCUGCUAUUCGGGUUCGAUUUAGCCAUGCAAGUCAGGGGGAGUUUACUCCACCGGCGAAAGGCUCAGUAACACGUAACUAAUCUGCCCUUGAGUACGGAAUAGCCUUGGGAAACUGAGGGUAAUACCGUAUAGUGUAUGCGACCUGGAACGGUGCAUACGCCAAAGCUUCGGCGCUCAUGGAUGAGGUUGCGGCUGAUUAGGUAGUUAGUAGGGUAAUGGCCUACCAAGCCGAUGAUCAGUAGGGGCCAUGAAAGUGGUAGCCUCGAGAAGGAAACUGAGAUACUGUUCCUAGCCCUACGGGGUGCAGCAGGCGCGAAACCUUUACAAUGCACGUUUGUGUGAUAAGGGGACCCGAAGUGCUCAUGUACUACAUGGGCUUUUUUCUUAAGAUUAAAACUCUUAGGGAAUAAGUGGUGGGUAAGACUGGUGCCAGCAGCCGCGGUAACACCAGCGCCACGAGUGGCAAUCGCAUAUUGGGCCUAAAGCGUCCGUAGUUGGUUCUGUAAAUCUUUUGUGAAAUUGUUGCGCUUAACGCAACAGUGUGCAGGAGACACUGCAGUACUUGGGACCGGGAGGGGUUGGAAGUAUUUCGGAGGGAGCGGUAAAAUGUGAUAAUCUUCGAAGGACUACCUGCGGCGAAGGCGUCCAACUAGAACGGGUCCGACAAUGAGGGACGAAGGCUAGGGGAGCAAACGGGAUUAGAUACCCCAGUAGUCCUAGCAGUAAACUCUGUGAGCUAGGUGUUGCGUAUCCCAUGGGGAUAUGCAGUAUCGAAGCGAAGGCGAUAAGCUCACCGCCUGGGAAGUACGGUCGCAAGGCUGAAACUUAAAGAAAUUGGCGGGGGAGCACUACAACGGGUGCGGCGUGCGGUUUAAUCUAACUCCACACAGAGAAUCUCACCAAAGGCGACAGUCGUAUGAUGGUCGGGCUAAAGACCCUACCGGACAAGCUGAGAGGUAGUGCAUGGCCGUCGUCAGCUCGUGCCGUAAGGUGUCCUGUUAAGUCAGGCAACGAGCGAGACCUACAUCUACAAUUGGCAGCAGCAGAUACGUCUGGACUGGUCACAUUGUAGAGACUGCGUGUGAAAACACGAGGAAGGUGUAGGCAACGAUAGGUCUGUAUGCUCCGAAUCCUUUGGGCUACACGCGCGCAACAAUGAUGAAGACAAUGGGAUGCUACUCCGAAAGGAGACGCUAAUCCUCCAAACUUCACCUUAGUUCAGAUUGAGGGUUGGAACUCACCCUCAUGACGCUGGAAUCCGUAGUAAUCAGAGUUCAUCAAACUCCGGUGAAUACGUCCCUGCUCCUUGCACACACCGCCCGUCAAACCACUCGAGUAGAGUUUCAGUGAGUCCUAGUUUAAUUGACUAGACCAAACUGGGGCUUUAUGAGAUGGGUUAAGUCGUCACAAGGUA
This 1438-nucleotide ribosomal RNA is filed under the name metagenome. RNAcentral describes it as "bacterial SSU rRNA". It matches the Rfam family "Archaeal small subunit ribosomal RNA". The record is from RNAcentral.